RNAcentral lists this long non-coding RNA (580 nucleotides) under Mytilus galloprovincialis (Mediterranean mussel). Lineage: Eukaryota; Metazoa; Mollusca; Bivalvia; Mytilida; Mytilidae. The record is from RNAcentral.
GGGGAAGUCCAAUUAAAAACUGACAAAAACAAAUGUGAGACUUAUAUCAACCAAUUUGGAAAGAAAUGGAAAAUGUCUGUCAUAUUCCUGACUUGGUACAGGCAUUUUACAAAAAGAAAACAGUGGGUUAAACCUAAAUUAGGUUUUAUAAUCUAGAGGAACCUCCCACUUGUUGGUUAAAUUGACAAAAUAUCGUAUGAGCAAUUACCCAAACAGACAUGAUAGGUUCUGCGCCAAUAAUGGGGAUCCAGCAACAAAAACUAUGUAAAUAUACAUUUCAGACAACACAACUGACUUAAAAAUAAACAAGCAUACACAUAUCUAUAAUACUAAAAUUACGAGGUCCAAUUUAUCAGCCGUCAUCACGUAAAAACGACGAAUCAAAGAAUUCAACUUUAUAUCUAACUAAUAUAGUGCAAUGUGUUGAUUAAAAAUUACACCACUCCAGACCCCUUUGUUUCCCACAUAAUUAAUAUUGCCAAUAAUUAAGAAGUUCCGGGUCGAAUCCGAUACCGAUACCAAUAGUAUAUUCACCUGUUACCUAUUACCUUAUCUGUACGUUCCGCAUCUGACAGGCGCA